AGAACAAGCAGAUUCUCCCACAUAUAGAUCAGGCUAUCUAUUGCCCGUAACUUGAAAGUGGGUAUUUUUUUUUUUUUUCCAAAGUGGCACUACUGGUGAGUCACAUGGCACAUGUAAAUAUUUUUGCAUAUAUAUAGUUGAAUAAGCUUUCAACUUCUCUCUAAUGCAUGUAUAGCCGGCCUAACGGUGAUUACAAAGUUACAAAUGCUUCCUUGUACUGUCCAAGUUUAUCUCACCUUUACAAUUCUUUGUUAAGAAUUAUUUACUGAAGUGAGAAUUUGAUCUUAUUGGCCUGCUUCGUCUUGUUUAUGGACAAGAAUAUCUAACUCCCUGUUUGCAGAGAUACAAUGAUAAAUCUCUGGGGGGUUAUAUGAAAUUGGUCUUGAAAGAAUUAUAUCCAACUUUUGAGGCAGACAAUGCCAUAAUUUCUUACAUUCUAGGCAUUGCAUGAUGUCCUUCAACUAUAUCAAGAAUUUGGGAAGUGCAUGUGAUGGAGAUAAAAUGCUGUUU
Molecule: long non-coding RNA, 510 nt
Filed under: Olea europaea (common olive)
Lineage: Eukaryota; Viridiplantae; Streptophyta; Magnoliopsida; Lamiales; Oleaceae
Description: long non-coding RNA (OEUR_LNC011237)
Source: RNAcentral